This 254-nucleotide unclassified non-coding RNA is filed under the name plant metagenome. RNAcentral's name for it is "partial contains 5.8S ribosomal RNA, internal transcribed spacer 2, and large subunit ribosomal RNA". It matches the Rfam family "Bacterial small subunit ribosomal RNA", at positions 524 to 777 of the family's 1533-position model. The record is from RNAcentral.
UACGUAGGGAGCAAGCGUUGCCCUGAUUUACUGGGUGUAAAGGGUGCGUAGGCGGCUUUGCAAGUCAGAUGUGAAAUCUAUGGGCUCAACCCAUAAACUGCAUUUGAAACUGUAGAGCUUGAGUGAAGUAGAGGCAGGCGGAAUUCCCCGUGUAGCGGUGAAAUGCGUAGAGAUGGGGAGGAACACCAGUGGCGAAGGCGACUUUCUGGUCUGUAACUGACGCUGAUGUGCGAAAGCGUGGGGAUCAAACAGGA